RNAcentral lists this unclassified non-coding RNA (364 nucleotides) under uncultured bacterium. Its description in RNAcentral is "contains 16S-23S intergenic spacer region". The record is from RNAcentral.
UCCCGAUUGGCUCGGGCAGUCUCGUCUGAAAAAUACAACAGACGACAAGGGUUGCGCUCGUUGCGGGACUUAACCCAACAUCUCACGACACGAGCUGACGACGGCCAUGCAACACCUGUCACUGGGUUCCCGAAGGCACAGCCCUAUUUCUAGGGCCUUCCCAGGAUGUCAAACCUUGGUAAGGUUCUUCGCGUAGCAUCGAAUUAAACCACAUGCUCCACUGCUUGUGCGGGUCCCCGUCAAUUCCUUUGAGUUUUAGCCUUGCGGCCGUACUCCCCAGGCGGGGCACUUAAUGCGUUAGCGCCGGCACGGGAGGAGUCGACACCUCCCACACCUAGUGCCCAUCGUUUACGGCGUGGACUAC